UGAAGGAGCCAAUUUGAAGUGUUCCACUACUUUGGACCUCACAGAAGGUUCAUACGGCAUGAAAUAAGGACAACUGCACGCAUCAACUCCAAGAAAAGGGUCACAGGCUAUUGGAAAGAAAUAUGUGUGCUUCACAUCAAAGUUACAGCUAUUCCCUUUUCCAGCAGCACCAUCUUCCCUCAUCUCAAGUGAUGUGUUGUCAAUACGAAGACCUUGUCACAUGCCACCUCACAGGAAAAAAAGUGUGAGGUUAAUGAGUGUGAAUUUCCUCCACUUUCUGCCCCUCCCACCUCUAAAUAUGUCAUAACUGCCCCCUUUCUUACCUCUUUUCUUGUACCUUAGUGUCCCUUUUCACAUCCGAGGCUACACACUCCAGAAAGAAUCCACUCUAGGCUAGGGGGAUACAGCUCAGGGGUAAAGUGUCCCAUGGCCCUGGGUUUGAUCCCCAACACUGGAAAAAAAGCUGAAAAGAAGCCAUCUCAAUCCUCCAGGGACAAGGGGGAAAAAUGAGAACCAAGAGCUGUCAUGUAAAGGUACAAGAUCCCAGUAAUGAAUGUAACUGUACUGUAUACCUAAAAUGUACCAAUAAACUCAAUGAGGGAAAAAAAAAAAAA
Molecule: long non-coding RNA, 614 nt
Filed under: Fukomys damarensis (Damara mole-rat)
Lineage: Eukaryota; Metazoa; Chordata; Mammalia; Rodentia; Bathyergidae
Description: lncRNA (ENSFDAG00000026438.1)
Source: RNAcentral